Molecule: small RNA, 56 nt
Filed under: Caenorhabditis elegans
Lineage: Eukaryota; Metazoa; Nematoda; Chromadorea; Rhabditida; Rhabditidae
Description: Unclassified non-coding RNA H24G06.4
Source: RNAcentral
CAAGUGAGGUUAGUGACACCUGGGUGGCAGCAGGUGGCGAAGUUGGUAAAAUGAAA